CCUACGGGUGGCAGCAGUGAGGAAUAUUGGUCAAUGGACGCGAGCCUGAACCAGCAAAGUAGCGUGAAGGAUGACUGCCCUACGGUUUGUAAACUUCUUUUAUAAAGGAAUAAAGUGAGGCACGUGUGACUUUUUGUAUGUACUUUAUGAAUAAGGAUCGGCUAACUCCGUGCCAGCAGCCGCGGUAAUACGGAGGAUCCGAGCGUUAUCCGGAUUUAUGGGGUUUAAAGGGAGCGUAGAUGGGUUGUUAAGUCAGUUGUGAAAUUUUGCGGCUAAACCGUAAAAUUGCAAUUGAUACUGGCAGUCUUGAGUACAGUUGAGGUAGGCGGAAUUCGUGGUGUAGCGGUGAAAUGCUUAGAUAUCACGAAGAACUCCGAUUGCGAAGGCAGCUUACUAAACUGCAACUGACAUUGAUGCUCGAAAGUGUGGGUAUCAAACAGGAUUAGAUACCCGUGUAGUC
This 460-nucleotide ribosomal RNA is filed under the name uncultured bacterium. RNAcentral describes it as "partial 16S ribosomal RNA". It matches the Rfam family "Bacterial small subunit ribosomal RNA", at positions 338 to 795 of the family's 1533-position model. The record is from RNAcentral.